GUCUAUGGCCAUACCACACUAAACAUGUCCAGUCUCAUCUGGUCUCAGAAGCUAAGCAGGCUCAGGCCUGAUUAGUACUUGGAUAAGAGACAAAUCUUCAAAACAGAAUGCUCAUAGACA
Molecule: ribosomal RNA, 120 nt
Filed under: Castor canadensis (American beaver)
Lineage: Eukaryota; Metazoa; Chordata; Mammalia; Rodentia; Castoridae
Source: RNAcentral